This 125-nucleotide ribosomal RNA is filed under the name Octodon degus (degu). The record is from RNAcentral. Lineage: Eukaryota; Metazoa; Chordata; Mammalia; Rodentia; Octodontidae.
CUCUAUGGCAAUACCACCCUGAAUGUGCCUGGUCUGGUCUUGUCUGAGGUUAAAAGCUAAGCACUGUUGGAUCUGGUUAGUACUUGAAUGGGAGAUCCCCUGGGGAAUACCAGGUGCUGUAGGCU